This is a long non-coding RNA of Puntigrus tetrazona (Sumatra barb), 164 nucleotides long. RefSeq lists it as uncharacterized. The record is from RefSeq and is a predicted model, not a curated record. NCBI's taxonomy places the organism in Eukaryota, Metazoa, Chordata, Actinopteri, Cypriniformes, Cyprinidae. The transcript has 3 exons.
CUGCAGAGGAUACUAUCGUCUCCAUUUCAGGCGAGGCUAGGAGCUUCUCAAACAAGCCUAUGUACAAAUCCCUGCAACCUGAAUGAACCAGGUAGAGGAACAGGUAAAACAGACCUAACCACCGACUCUGACGGCCUCUACAAUGAGUUUCUCCACAGAGAGAG